UACGUAGGUGGCGAGCGUUGUUCGGAGUUACUGGGCGUAAAGGGCGCGUAGGCGGCGAUCCAAGUUAGGCGUGAAAGCCCCGGGCUUAACCUGGGAAUUGCGCUUAAGACUGGACUGCUUGAGUGCGGGAGAGGUGAGUGGAAUUCCCAGUGUAGAGGUGAAAUUCGUAGAUAUUGGGAAGAACACCAGUGGCGAAGGCGGCUCACUGGCCCGCAACUGACGCUGAGGCGCGAAAGCGUGGGGAGCAAACAGG
Molecule: ribosomal RNA, 253 nt
Filed under: uncultured bacterium
Lineage: Bacteria
Description: partial 16S ribosomal RNA
Rfam family: Bacterial small subunit ribosomal RNA
Source: RNAcentral